Chinchilla lanigera (long-tailed chinchilla) is the source of this 1484-nucleotide long non-coding RNA. RefSeq lists it as uncharacterized. The record is from RefSeq and is a predicted model, not a curated record. Lineage: Eukaryota; Metazoa; Chordata; Mammalia; Rodentia; Chinchillidae. The transcript is spliced from 3 exons.
UUGGCUGGAGGUUGUCAGCGUCUCGCUAUUGUUUUGUUUGUUUCUUUAAGAGAAAAAGGGGAUUCUGUCUCCCUGGACUGGCUGGAGAGCGGGCGUGGGGAGAAUGUCUCAGCGAAAGUACUUUUAUUCAUGCAAGAAAUACUUAUUGAAAAAUUACCUGUAGAAACUGCUGCAAAGCACAGUGUUUCCACAUGGCCUGUCUGGAUGACAUUCUGUACCACCAAGCAGCCACUGUCUUUCCCUGGGAAGCUGGAGCAGCUGACUGAGGUGUCACCUUGUCUCCCCCCCCCCCCCCCGUCUCCCCCGCCUUGACUGGGCCUUGGAUUUGCAGCUCAGCUGUGGUAUGUGAGUUCUGGAGGCUAGGAAGUCCACGAUCAAGGCACCACAUCUGGCAAAGGCCUUCUGGCUGCAUCAUCACAUGGUGGAAUAUGGGGGAGGAAAAAGACACGGAGCUAAACUCACCUUUUAUAAUGGUAUUAAUCUCACCCACAAUGGUGGAGCCUCUGUGGCCUAACCACCUCCCACAACGAGCUGUAUGGCAGGGAGAACCUCAAGGUGAGCUUCUCAGCCUGAUGUCUUUGCCUUGUCUGUGUUUAUAGGGGUUAGCUGAUUUUCUAAAAAGAACUAUUUUACUGAUUGAUGCAGUCAGGAUCUUAGCUUUUGUUUCUGGUGAGCCAAGGUUCACAGGACUAUGGGCACAUAGCAGAAAGCAUGCAGAGGUCCCACAAGGGGCAGCCUCCUCCAGUAUAUCAUGUUGUGAGUAUGUGCUUAUCUUCAUUACACUGACCACCAAGAUCAUGCCCUAUGCUGCCUAUUCCUCCCUAACUGUCCUUACACUGUCCAGUAGCCAGAAAACUGUAGGUGCCCUGCCCUCCCCAGGCUCUAACUUCUGUCCCCUCAAACCAGUGACCACUGGCCCCUGUGUGAAUUCUGCCUCUCUCUGCUGUGGAUUGGAGCCUUUUUUCCAGGUGUGAACUGCGACAGUGAUAGGACUUACAUCUGUUACUUUCACUAUCAGGGUGUCCUUAUUAAAGACAGCUAAGUUAGAAAUAUUGCAGGCAGUCAUAUUGGGCUAGGCUUUCAAAAGAGCCAGUGCAGAAGAUUACAACUGUGGAUGGAGGCCCAUUCAUUGAAGGCCAGACCUCAAGACAAAAGAUGGCAUGACUACAACUACAUAUUUCCCCUAGGGACAAACAGUAAUGAUUUUUUUUUGAGAGAGAAAGGGCCUCACUCUGCAGUGAGUUCAGUUCUUGACUUCACUAUGUAGCCCAAGCUCAUCUCAAACUCACAGCAAUCUUCAUGCCUCAACCUCCCAAGUGCUGGGAUUACAGACAUGUGCCACCACACCUGGCAUCAAGCAGUAAUGAUUGAUAAUCUAAAUAGGCAUCAAUAAUGGGGAGGGACCAGGCAGAAGCAUUGACCCUACCUUCCAGGAAGAGUCCUUGUUCUUUCCAUGGACACUUGCUACCCCAUCGGAUGACUUG